Molecule: long non-coding RNA, 6195 nt
Filed under: Marmota monax (woodchuck)
Lineage: Eukaryota; Metazoa; Chordata; Mammalia; Rodentia; Sciuridae
Source: RNAcentral
UUUGGGAUUUAGGUCUUCCUAAAUGGCAAAGAAAGACGUCAAGAGUGAUAGUGCAUUCUGAAGGGGAAUAUGAAUAUCCUAUUGUUGAAUAUUUAAGGUUUUAUAUAUAUAGUUUGAUAGAUACACAUUAGUAGGGACAAGGGGGUCAUCAAUGUUACAUGAAUAUCUCAAGGGCAUCUUAUUUCAGGGUCUAGCCUAGAUUUGGCAUAUAUUCAUUCAAAUAUUACCUGAGUAUCAGUCCAAAACUCAAUUUUCUUAGUAAACUCAGAAAGUAUCAGGGGGUUAGUAGGAGAGGAGGGAGGGAGAAAGUGCUGGGGAGUGUCGUUGGCCCAAUUAUAUUGUUAUAAUAUGUGCAUGUCCUAAUAUAUAACAACAAAUCCCACCAUUAUGUACAACUAUAAUGUACUGAUUUAAAAAUGUGGAGAAAGAAAGUAUCAGGAUCACUACAAAUGUAUGGUUGCUAAAUUUACAUCCAUGCCAAUGGACUCAUCUAAAGGAGCUAUUUCCAGUGAGCAUAAGCUAAUUUCUUCUUUGUGUUUGGGAAACCAAAUGUGAACUGGAAGGUUGCUUAGUGAGCAUAGAAUCAGAACAAGGAAACCACAGGAAUUUGAGUGAGACAUGCUGCCUAGGUGCCAGGAAAGUCCCAUGAAAUGUGCCUGUUCUAUAAGAAAAAAUACUCCCUUAAGACCAAAUUUCUGUUAUCCUCGAGUUCCCAUGUGCUCCGUCCCAUGUGCAGUUCAAGAUGUGCCCAUUAAUAAUUGUUUCUCUGAACCCUAGUUAUUUAAGAAUAUCUCAUGGGAGUCAAAUAUGCCACUUCACCUUACACCUGCGUGGUCAGAUCUUCUUAUAUGGCCACACCUACCUGUAAGGAAGAAUAGGACAUAUAUUCUUUAUUCUAGGCAGCCAAUUGCAUGGUUACAAAAAGGAAGAAUGGAUAUUGGGGGGAAAUAUCACAAGAGGUAUUACAAAUACCAUUUUGUCAAUGGGAAAUUAGGCCUAAGAAAGUUAAGCACAAAGCUUUGAAGUAGCAAAAAAGAACCAGUCAAGCUUAGUGUUUGCUGGAAUGGAAAAGAGAAGCUGCUACUAACCAGCUGCUGCUGAUUUUCCAUCCGCCAAGUCUCACAAGAUAGUAUCUGUGGUAGCUCACAAGAUCUGAAAACAUGCUAGAGAGGGAAUUCUGAUCUUUCAUCUAAGUUGCCAUUUAUACAAGGAAUUUAGAAAAUCUUGAAACCAAUUUGACAUUUUUCUUUUAAUGCUUGUCAUUGUUUACUUCCCAUUUGGCAGUUGCAAAGAGGUGUUUCUCUCUGGGGCUUUGAUGCCAAAGCUUUGAAGAAGUACAGGAAACCUGGGACGUCACAUAUUCGUCCACUUUUUUGAGGGUAGUGCUGACUAUCAACUGAACAUGUUGCCUGGGAUCACUCUUCAUACAUUCAAAAGCCAAAACCAGAAGAAGGUCAAAUCACACGUGGGAUUCCAAAAGACCAUCUACCCAAUCCCACUCAUGCCAGGGCAUUAAUGUACAACUCCAUUUAGAAUCAUCCAUGUCAUUGUAAGAGGAAUACUUGUUUCACUGUAGAAAAUAUUUAAAACAAAUUGUAUUUUAAUAGAGGAAAGGAAAGCUGGGUAAAACAGGGCACCCCUAUAGUUCUGGCUACUCAGGGGGCUAAGGCAAGAGACUUUUAAGCCCAUGAAUUCCUGGCCAGUCUUGGCAACAGAGUGAGAACCCUAAUCAAAAAAAUAAAUAAAAUAAAAAUUUUAAAAAUAGAAGAAAGAAAAAUCACUUGCCUCCAGACAUAACACUAUCAAUAUUUUGGUACCUAUCCUUGCAGUGUUUUUUAAAAUAAUUGAUACAGACAGUUAUUUUACAAAAUUGGAUUAAUAGUUUUUCUUCCCAUAAAAUAUUUCUCUAUGCAGAGUAAUAUCUAAUCAUAUUAUUCUAUCAUAAUUUUUAUGAAUCCCUAAUAUUACAUAAUUCAAUUGUCUGCAAUUUUUACUGUUAUAAAUAAUAAUUAUUCACUCAUUCAACAUCUACUUAAUGAGUUCUUACUAAUACCAAUCACUGUACUAAGUUCUGUGGAUACACUAGUAAACAAGAAAGCCCUUCACGAAGUUAAUGUUCUACGAGGGGAAAGACACUGAACAAGUAAACACAAAUAAAUACAAAAAAUGAAGCUGAAGUAAUGGGAGAGAAUGACUGGGAAGGACACAGCCAGUCAGGGAAUGCUUCUCUGAGAAGGUAGCAUUUCAGCAAAGAGCUAAAGGAGAGCCAGCCACAUGAAGAGUGAAUGCAGAAGUAUUCCUGAUAGCAUGUGGGCAGUGGGCAGUUCAUGCUGUAGAUAGUCACAGUGUGGUGGCAGCUUCUGGAGGACAAGGGAAUGAUGUAGGCUAGGGUGGAGAGACAGCCAGAAGCCAGAUCAUACAGGGACUAGACUUUGACACUAAGAGCAGAGGGAAGCUGUCGAAGGUUUUUAAGGAAGAUGACAUGAUUCAACGUACAUGUUUUAAAGAGACUCUGGCUGCCAUGUGGAGAAUAGUGUAGAAAUAAAGAAGGGGAUGUUGGCAGUUGAUAAAGUGGUCCAGUUAGGGGGCCUUCAGAUGAAAACAGUGGAUGGAGACAGGAAAUUCCUUAGCAUGACAAGGAUAAGGACAAUAGGAAGAAUCUUGGAUCAGUAAAACUCAGUGGUAGGCCUUCAAACCCAUCAAAGUCUACUGCAUCAUGUUGAUUUCAUCUUUACCUAGAACAGAAGAAAAGAACUGGGCUUAAACUGUAACAGAAAAGAUGUAAGUCAUUCAAAAAAGCAUUUUUUACCACUAUAAGUACUUGGCACCAUGUAUGCAUGUAAGUGUAGCUAGAACUACCUUCCUUGAGAAAAGGGUCCUCCUGUUUAGGUGAUGUGGGCAGUUGUUGCUGGAAUCUGUGUGUGAUAAGACAGUCAGGGUCACUGAUGGAAUGAGGGAUCUGAAUUUCUAUCCUGAAUAUACUUCCCCUGAGAUGCCUGGUGGGCUAGGAAUAGGGGUCUACUACAGAGCAGAGAACUCAGUUGUAAAAACCAAAGGAUCCUUAAAGGAGGAAACCAUGUUCCCAAAUGCCCCUUUCCAUUCCUCAAAACCUAAUCAAUUUAAGGGAACAAUGAGUGUGAGUUGGGAUGGAAUAUUCAGCUACAUAUUAUCUUAAAGGAUACUGGCUUUCUCUCCUAUGUGCUGGGAAUGAAGGAAGUUAAUAUUAUCUAUAGAUAGCUGCCCUCUGGAUGAGUGCCAAGUUCCUUAGGUGUGCUGGUUGCACAGUGGGACAAAGCAAGCUAAGCCAAUGCUGCUUCUGUAACCUAGCCUAGAAAAACCCCUCCUUGUGGUAACUGCUUCAGAUCAGAGAACUAUGGAGAGGGAAGUGCUCAUCCAAGUGGCCACCCCUAGACAAAAUAUUCUGUGGGGCAGGGGGUGCUAUAUUCUAGCAAAGCUCCAGAUGCAUCUGUGUGAAACAGAGAUGCACUCAUCCAGCAUGUUGUCACUGGACCUUCUGGUGAAACACCUGUCCAGCCUGUUGCCAUUGAACUUCUUCCAUAAACACUUCUUGAUAAAACUUAUAUCCCAUCUCUAGGUGUCUUCUUUGGUCUCUCAGCAACUUGUCCCACUGCCCUAACAUGACUGGACUGUGACAUAACAAGAAGGCAUCAGAGGUACAUGUUGGAGCCAGACUUACAGUUUAGGGUUAGAGGCAAAGAGGACAGAUUCUACCCCAAGUUAUGUGUUCUUGAAAUAGCAUGGCGGCUCUCUGAGAUACAACCAAGAAAUCUGUGUUUCUGGGACCACACCUUCAAACCAACCUAACUAAACACUAGCCCCAGAAACCUGAAUCAAUUCAAAAAAUGUAUUGUGAGGCGUGCAACACGCCAAGCAAGGCUCAGUGCUUGACAAACAUUUUAAUACAAUACUUAAAACUAGGGUUAUAAUCAGCCCUAUAAUCCUUAUGUUGCAGAUGAGGAAAUUGAGGCACAGAGAUUCAAAAACUUACCCAAAUCUGCAUGACUAUUUCCUCAUAGAGACAGGAUUUAAUACUGGUCUGGUUGAUAUGGGGGCCCAUGAUUUUCAUCAAACCACUGACUUUAUGGGAAGGAUCCUUACAGGUCAUUUAGUUGAAUACUUUAUUCUCUAGAUACAGAGAUGUGCACAAACCAUAAUGGAAUCAAAGAUUUGUCCACCUCCACUUGUCUGCUUGCUUUUCUUCUGAGGUAUUACAUCCAAAAGCAGCACAUCCCAAAUAUCUUCUUUCAGCAGACACUGAGGUUCUCUAACUAGGUUCAAACCAGAAGGCAAACAUCUGAGAAUAAGCAUUUCAACACUAAAACAGCAACACAAACCUGAGGAAACUCAAAUAUAUACACACAGUCUCAAAUACAAAAGCACUUAGGCUGGGUGUGGUGGCACAUGCCUGUAAUCCCAGCUCAGGAGGCUGAGGCAGGAGGAUCUGAAUUCAAAGCCAGCCUCAGCAAAAGUGAGUUGCUAAGCAAAUCAGUGAGACCUAACUAAACACUCAGGGUCACUCCUGGUGAACUGGGCUGCACAAAAUAAUCAGAGACAGAGAAGUACCUUUUUCUUUGGGUGCUGUGGUGGCUCCUCUGACUUAAGGGUCUGUGGAAAGAGAGCCAGGAGCAGGUGAUGUGCUGAAUCCUUUUAUUGGGAAGAAGCCAUUCAAAUGAGGCAAGGGGUCAGGUUUCAGGGGCUUAGGUUUAGCUUCAUGAUGUCUGCUGUCAGCUGAUUGAUUGACAUCUAGGAAGGCCAUGCCCAAAGGCAGAGCAAGAGAAGGGGAAACACAAAGUGAGUUUCCAUGGAACAUUCUAUCCCAAAUAGGGCAAAGAGGUAGUAUUACAAAGGAAACAGUGUAACUCAACCCUAGGGGCAUGCCCCACAAAGAGAACCUCCUUGCUAUCCAAGUGGGGUGGGGAGGGGAUGGGGGGGAGACUGAGUCAGGAGUCAUGGCACUACCACGCCAGAUUACAGUGAUCAUUCAGAUCCCCAUAGUGCAUCAGGACUGGAAGGCAUGGUCACUCAGUGUGGCUCCCCACACCUGUCUCUAAAUAAAAUACAAAAUAGGGCUGGGGAUGUGGCUCAGUGAUCAAGUGCCCCUGAAUUCAAGCCCCGGUACCAAAACAAAACAUUUAGAAGCAUGAUCUAUAACAGCAAACAUUUUUGAAAUUUUGUCUGUGCAUCAAAGGAAGGAGAUUGUGGCACACAGUGAAGGAAGCACAGAACAAAUCACUGGGAAAUCAUUUCCAUCUAGUUGAAGAAUGAGUUAAACAGCCUUGCCAACCAUUACAAACAUUCCCAGCCUUCUUUCCCUCUCAGAGGAAUGAAGAACUGCUUUUAAUGGAGCUCCUAUGCUGAAAGCAAAAUCUGCAAUCUUUACCAUUGCUGAAGACCCAGCACAGUUCCCGCCCCACUGCUAGUCUCUAAUCUUAUCUCCAGCUCUUUUGCUUAUUCCUUGUCAAACAGAGAGACUCUCUGUUCCUCUAAUAUGCCAAGUGCUCUUCUCUGAGGUUGAUUCCCUCACUUCCUUCAGACCCCCUGUCAGGGAAGCCAACUACACUGCCUCCCUCUGACACUUCUUAUCCCCUUCUCUGGCUCAAAAUUCUCCAUGGUGCUUAUCUAAUGUAUACAUGGGUAUUUAGGGCCUGUUCCCUCUGGCUGACUAGAAUAUAACCUGUGGGAGAGCAAGGAUGUCAGUUUUAUUCAGUGCAUUGUGCCCAGCUUUAGAAGAGUGUUUGGCAAACAGUCGUUUUUCUAUAAUUAAAGAAUUUGUAGAGAAAGCAUAUAUUAGCAGAAGGACAUUCUAUACUGUGACAGCUAGAGGCUAGGUAGGGCACAGGAAGGGGGAUGACACAGAGAGAUUAUAAUGGAGGAGUGAGUUCUGGUGCUCCACAGCACAGUGGACGGCUGUAGCUCACAAUGGCCUAUUAUAAUUUUAUGGAGAACUAGAAGAGAGGAGCACAAAGGGUCCAAGCACAAAGUUAUGAUAAGGAGAUGUAAAUGCAAAUUGCCCUGAUUUGAUCAGUACAUAUUGUAUACAUUUAAGGAACUAUCAAAGUGUAUCCCAUAAAUAUGUAUAAUCAUUACUUGUUAACCAAAAUUGUGAAAAAAUGUUUGAAGAGAUGGAAAUGAUUAUACUAUUCAUCACAGAUGUGUUGAAUUACUAUACCAUAU